GCAGUGGAGUAGAUCAGACGUGUUCAGUGGAUCAUUCGAGAGAUGGUAAAAAUUGUAAAAAGUGAAAAAAUGUGACAUCAUCAACCAACCCCGUUCAACAACUGAAUGCUAUAAUUCAGUGUAUACUGUGCUCAGUUUCAAGUGCCGAAAAGAAAAUUAUUGGUAUUUUUCUGCCAGAACCAGUGAAAGUAUAAUUUUCAACUGUGAAAAAAUGGCGUUUCCCUGCAACGGGUGCCAACGUUUUGAGGAAGCCAUCUUGGAAAAAUAAAAUGGCCGCUUGCCAAACCGCAUUGCGGAGGCUGGAAAAUCGAAAAUUGUCUCCCUCAUCGAUUCAUUCUCAUGCUGAUGCUCACAGGAAAGGCAUUGUCAAAAUGCAUCUCAGAGCAUACCAACGUGUUGGGGGAUUGAAUCGAUAUAUUGAUCAACUGCAUUCUUUAGCUGACCUAUAAAAACGGAUUUCUAUCCGAAGGGCCAAUAUGCAGUGAUUGUAGUAAGCGAUUAACUUUAGCAAAUAAUGCUGUUUUGCAUAGCGGAGGCAACAAACGGGAAAGUUUUCCUUUUACUGACUCACAUGCACUCGAGAAUGACCGAAUAUCGAAAUUCAUCUCUAAGCAUGUUUCGUUCUGUUACUCAGUUUCCCUGCAAAAACGGAUGACACUUCGGAACGUCAAACCGGCGUCAUGGAGAUCAAUACUUCAGCCUGUUCAAGAAGCUGAACGAUAUGGAGAGAGCCGUUCUCAUGAGCUGAUGGUCUACAAGCAUCUGGUAAAAUUCAUUUCAUCUGUAAUCAGUCUCAUUAGACGUGUAAGAAAACAAUUUUUUUUUUCACAAACUCUCAAUGGGGCGAAAAGGGUUUGAUGGCGCCCACUAAAUCAAACUGUAGUUAGUCUCAGAUACUACCAUUGUAAGUUCUUUUUAAGUUCUAUUUCUAUUAUUUUUACGACCACUGUAAUUUCUCUAUAUAUUUCUAUUUACAAUUCGUAUCCGCGAAGGCAGACAUCAGUUUGCUCUUCUCUUCAAAACUAGGUCGUUUUAGAAUAUUUGCCGACUAAAGCAUAAUUCUAACUACACAAAAGUACCAACCGUUGAAAUUUCGAAGAAAUUCUAUAGUUUAUCCUAGUUUGCCACUGAAUAAAAACAGUGGCAUAACGCGAAUGCAUACAAAAUGUCGAAUGCAGGUCGUUUGCAGUAAUGAUCUUUAUUAGAAAAAAAAGUUACGUGUUAACAACACAAAAACGUUCACUCUUUGACAGUCACACGCAAUUUAAAAAAAUCGACGAAGGUAUUGAAAAACAACACUAAAGGCUUGUGGAAUAUACGCAACCACUAAAAUUUCUCAAUAUUUUCUAUUUCCUAUUCGUAUAUCCUGGUCACGGCAUCAUAUGAUGUGCUCACACUGUGGAUGCAUUUGGUGCCCCCUGGUGGAAAUAAUUAAGAAAAAAUGCUCCGGGUGCAUUUUUUCUCUACGGUCAGCUUUGAUUUUUGUAGCAUUGACAUUUUGCUCCAAAGUAGUCUUGUUUUCACGUCUUUGUGUUUUUCGCUCGAUUCACGAUACUGUAUUGUAUUUUAUUAUCUAUAUUCAUACUUGCGCAAAACUUCUAUCCGAUAAUUAUCCAACAGAUGUAUUUCGAAACGAGACAUUAUACUUAAAUGAUAUUUUCUUGAACGAUUGUGGUUCAAUAUAGCAGUGCAACUCUAACUGGAGUUCCCAGGCCACUGUUGUUUCUCUAUAUAUUUCUAUUUACAAUUCGUAUAGAUUUUGGAGCCCUGUGAUAUUGUGAUAUUGAAAUUUCGUUGCAGUGCCCAUGAGGAUAAAACCAAUCACUAUAGUUUCGGAUAUGUUUUAGAAAUUCGUUUUUUGUUAGGUAUAAAGACUGAGACCGUAACUGUAGCUUGUCGUUAGGAAUUCAUUAUAUAAUUUUCCCAAUUUGAUCCUAUCAGUCGUGCGUUGUUUUUACGCUCUCUUUUCUUUCGAUUACGAUAAUUUCUCAAUACUUUCUAUUUCCAUUGGAGUAAGAAUUUUGAGUUAGGUGAUAAAUUGAAUAACCUUUACACGCAAGGUAAGAAAACUGAACGACAAUGCUGCACCAAUUACUGAAAUUUCUCAAUAUUUUCUAUUUCCUAUUCGUAUGCGACCAGGUAUUUGGUAUGGUACGAAUCCAUGUAGCAAAAAAAACACCAUCUGGAAAAAAGAGUGGCAUGCCAAAAUCGUGCUUAGACAUUCAACCUAGCACAAUAACUGUAAGUUCUUUUUAAGUUCUAUUUCUAUUAUUUUUGCUUGGAUUAACGGCAACGAAUAAAGCAAAAUAAAAACCCUUGAGUCGUAAUCCCUGCUGCGAAAAAGAAUUUGUAAAUCUCUUCAAAACUAGGUCGUUUUAGAAUAUUUGUGUAUUCAGACGUUGAGCUGGUUUACGACCAGCUUCGAUCACUUUAAAUUCUUUUUAAGUUCUACUUCCAUUAUUUUUGCUGGAAUAUAAGACCCCAAAUUUUUAUUCUUCUAAAAUCAGAUCGUUCUAGACGGUUCCCAGGAACAAAGGUUCCUGAUGUUGACAUUCUUCCUAACAGAAGAAUUUGCUGAUCUCUUCAAAACUAGGUCGUUUUAGAAUAUUUGCUUGCAUCGUAGCUUCGAAAAUAGCUAUGUGCAAACUGAGGAAGUGACAACGAAGUCUCAGUAGCACCAAGCAGUUUCCAGUUAUUCUGCUAAACUAUUUUUACUUAAAGUUAAGACCCCGAAUUCUUAUUCUGUUCCGACUGACGACCCAGAAACAGAGGUUCUUGAUGUAGACAUUCGAGGCUCAACAGAAGAAUUUGCUGAUCUCUUCAAAACUAGGUCGUUUUAGAAUAUUUACGAGAACCUGAAUGUUCACUGCGUGUCAUAUUUGACGAGAGAAAUUCUAAAAAGCACUUCCAAUUGUGGAAACGAAGUGCGAUCGAUUUAAUGGCUUUCUUAGUAUUGUGUAAUUUUGCUUUUGUUUACAAUCGCUUCGAACACUUUGGAAGCUUGUCACGAUUGAACUUUUUCACGGUUGAAACUCAACAUUACGUGGUGUUCAAAAAGAACGGAUUUAAUCACUGUAAUUUCGGAUAUGUUUUAGAAAUUCGUUUUUUGACUUUAAAUCCCUAUAUGAUUUUGUCUUUGCCUUUACGAAGUUGAACAUAAACUGUUUAAUUCUGCUGAAAAUUGUUACAAUGAAAGAAAUAGCAUGAAAUGGCAUUUGUCUUUGCCUUUACGAAGUUGAACAUAAACUGUUUAAUUCUGCUGAAAAUUGUUACAAUGAAAGAAAUAGCAUGAAUGUCAAACGUAGGUAUAAAGUGUAGUACACUAGGUGGUUAUGUUUUAGAAAUUCAUAUUUUACCAAACGGUGUAAUUAGAGAACCAACAAUAUGUGAUUUCUUUCAAAUUCUAUUUCAAUUUUUUAAGAAACAACUUUUAAAGUGUCUGUGAUACCUUUCUUAGUUAAACCACAAUUUCGUGUUGCACUGCAACCAUGCAGGAGCUCGUGAGUAAUGUGCGUUACAGUAGUCUGUUAUCGAAUACCUUAUGAGAAACCAACGAACUUUAAUUUCACAAUAUUACAAUAUGCAUUACAAAUUUGACCAUUUCGUGCAGUGCGUGUGUGAUAGAAUAUAAUAAGCUGUUAAAUGGUCCAAGCUACAACUUACCACUGUGAAAGGAAUCGGCGGUAUCUGAUAUCGAACCGUGAUAUUAUCACUACGGAAUAUUAUUUUUAGAACCGUGCGACGGUUUAGAGUAAAAUAGCUCUCUGUAUUUUAUUGUAAAACCGCAUUUCGCUUUUAUCAGAUUGGGGGAUUUACCAAAAGUGGUCAGUUUUUUUUCUGUUUCUGGCAAACCUUUCCCAAGUUAGUAUAUUUUCAAGAACAAAUGCUACGAAAAUUGUCAGUAAUGAAAGUGAAUGACAACAUCCGUUCUAUUAACAUAGAGUUAAUUAAAAAAAUGGAAAACUAUAAAUAUUGGAGCUGGGAUGUAUAUGUUUCGAACAACAGCACCAUUAACAAUCACUGUAAUUUCGGAUAUGUUUUAGAAAUUCGUUUUUUGUGAAGCAGUAUGUAGUGUUUGAUUUGUUCGGCAAACUGUACAAACGUUUGCUCACGAUCUUCCAUAGAGAUACACAACUUCAUUCAAUGCUGUGCGCGGUGAUGAUUCCAAUAGAGAAAUGACAUUCUAUUACGUUUAGAUUUCUUGUCCAGACUAACUAAGUGCAUUCCCUAGUAGUAUAGAAUGCUAGCAAUUGUUAUCGUACCGUGAUAUUAUCACUACGGAAUAUUAUUUUUGAUUUGUGAAGCAGUGCAGUCUAAAUAAGUCUAGAAAGAAUUCACGUUCAUGAGAGAAGAAAUAUGACUUAAAAUUUGCGAAUUAACUUGCUGUGGCUAUUUGGGCGGAUGAAAUUUUCCCUGCGGAUAUUUUGUCUCGUUAUAAGGUUUCAUUAAAAGUCGUCAUCAUAUGACCAAAGGUCGCAUGAGUGCGAAAACAGCAGCAUACACAUAUUAUGUGAUAUAAUGUGAGCAACACCUCUCAAGGAUAAUUUUUUUUUCUGAAGCUAUCACAAAACCCGAUCAGAAAGACAAAACAAAAAUUUGACAGAAGCUGUUAGCUUGUUAUGGUCCCGCUAGGUGUUAAAAUAACAGAAAUUAGGACAACAAUAGUUCUACUAAUAUCAAAUCCAUAUCAAACUUCGUCACGAACGUUUAAGCUUCCUAACAGAAUAAAAUAGCAUAUAAACAGUAUAAUAACAGCCACUGUUAGAAACAACAGGUUUCGCAAGGGACGAACAAUUUGUUAGACUUGUUUCAGAACAACUUAAUUUCUGGAUUUUUCACUAUAACUCAUUAAGAUCCAAUUUUGUUUUCAAAAGCGUGUGGGAAAAUACAAAAUCGUAUCAAAAUAUGUUCUUUGUAUCUUCUGUUGAUAGAAUUUUGUAAUAUUUUAGUUAUGCUCUUCUGAUCGGGAGGCAACCUUAUAUAAGGCAUACCCAGGUGAUAAGCUUACGUAACUAUAUAUUGAAUCGAACACCAAUCACAGAAAUUUCUCAAUAUUUUCUAUUUCCUAUUCGUAUAUAAAUCGUUUACUACAACCGCGUUUACAAGCCGCGAAACAAACCUCGUUUGUCUCAACACAAAAACGUUCACUCUUUGACAGUCACACGCAAUUUAACUUGACUUUAUGGAGAUAGAAGACAUACGACUUACAAUUUGCAAAUUAACUUACUGUGACAUUCUAAAAGAAACCGACCGUUAUCUUAGUUCUAGAAUUCUCUGAAAGUCGUCAUCAUAUGACCAAAGGUCGCAUGAGUGAAAACCCAAGCAUUUCGCUAUGCUGAAUAGAUCACCAAUUACAGAAAUUUCUCAAUAUUUUCUAUUUCCUAUUCGUAAAGGAUAUUCAUCUUUGGAAAUUUGCAGGGUAUUCAAUAAAUAAUAAACAUCAUCGGAAGAAUGAUCGUUUUUAUUGAUACUUAAGCAUUUUCCGCCGAUGUAAACUCGCGCUCGUUACAAUGACUCGGGGGGAGGGUGGAUCUAAAAUCAGAAAGGAAAUGUUAUUGUUUUGUGUGUUUGAUUAUACCACAUUCGUAAGUGGAUCAUACAAAUUAGGCUAUGUGGCACGAAAAAGAAAUGGUUGGGGAUAACCUUAACAACCCGUGGUCACUGAGGUGAUAACGAUCAUGGCAGCGGAUCGGUUUUUGAAGCGUGAUAUUAUCACUACGGAAUAUUAUUUUUAUUAAUGUAAAUGUUUUCGCCAUAAAGUCGUCAUCAUAUGACCAAAGGUCGCAUGAGUGCCAACAGAAACAAUCACUGUAAAUUCUUUUUAAGUUCUAUUUCUAUUAUUUUUAUUCUAAAUGCGUUUUGCAUUGGAGUAAUUAAUCACCACUGUAAUUUCGGAUAUGUUUUAGAAAUUCGUUUUUUGUGUUUGCUCAUUCUAUUAAGCUUGAAAUUAUUAACCUCAAAGACCAAUUCAGUCCUGUCGCGGUCGCCAUGUGGGUUUGGGAUAACUGUUGGAAUGACUUGACGAGUUUAAAGUGGCAUAAGAAUAAGUUCGUUAAUUUUCUCUUAUCGAUACAAAGUCGUGUACAUACAAAUGAAGCGCGAGCCUUUGCCUCAAAAAGAGAAUGAGAGAAUGAAAUGAUAAAAGAGACCUGGUAACAUGUACUUUUGACUUGAAUUGUAUGACGGUCGGUAACCCGUCGUGUACUGUCGAAUUCUGGUAAUUUGAGAACGGUCGUGGCUGAGUAACAAAAGUUGCAUCGUUGGCGGUUCGAACAUGGGCAAUUGAACUUGGGUGUUAUUGCUCACGUUGCAAGACCCAACCGAUGCAGUUUUGUAGCUGCUCACACACACACACACCUGUAGGCCUAUCGGCCUACGCAUACCCACAACAAAACAAACACCGAACCAUUCACUGCGCGUACUAGCGCGCGUGCAUGAUCGACAUAGCUAGCGUCAUCGAUCGUUGCAACAAGUAUAUCGAUAACGUUCUGAAGGAAAUCAUAGUAAACGGAAACAAAGUAACGAGAUAUUUGUUUGGAGUGUUGGGAUGGUUGUAAAGCUUUAAGUUAUAGACUUAUAAACUCAUGGAAAAGGAAAAGUUGGUAUUUUGUUGAUUCUAAUAUUUAAUUCAUGGGCACGUAAAUUGGGAAUUAAAACCUCACAAUUUUGUGGGUUUAAUUUUACCACAUUUCAAAUAAUGAAAAUGCUUUCGCCAAAAAGUCGUCAUCAUAUGACCAAAGGUCGCAUGAGUGCCAAAAGAAACAACUGCUGUAAAUUCUUUUUAAGUUCUAUUUCUAUUAUUUUUAUUCCAAAUGCGUUUUGCAUUGGAGCAAUUGAUCAUCACUGUAAUUUCGGAUAUGUUUUAGAAAUUCGUUUUUUGCGUUUGCUUGGUCUACAAAGCUCAAAAUAAAAAGUCAGUUUAAUUAUGUAGGUCGAUAUUUAAUGUAUUCACUUGUUCACAGUGCAGAAUUGAUUUCGAACCGUGAUAUUAUCACUACGGAAUAUUAUUUUUGUAUCUAAUAUAGUUAUUGUUCCUUCCACGGGAGCUCUACCAAAACUUAAAUAAAUGUAAAGACUUAUAAUGCAUAUUCUUGGGAGAACGAACUAUGGUGAAUCAAGAGAGUAAAGACCUCAAGGGUAUCCACCAGUACGGACCUAGUAACGCACAGAAUUGAACAACUCAAAAGUACGUGAACAAGUGUGCCGUUUUUUCAGUGAUUUUUGUCUUAUAUACUAUUUGUACAAUGUUAUCUCAACCUAUCCCAAUGGUAGAACGGAAGAGAAGGCUGAAGAGCCGGGCUCGAUAAUACACUACUUAUAUAACGCUUAUAAACCAACAAACUGUAGUUUCUUUCAAAUUCUAUUUCAAUUUUUUUGAAAAAAAUGCGUAAGCAUUGCAGUUGCAGUUGUAAACCGGGAGAAGAUUUUUUCUCGCUGUGAGAAUAUUUUUCAUCUGCUAAGCAAGAUUCAUUUCAAAACGUGAUAUUAUCACUACGGAAUAUUAUUUUUGCGUAGAAUGUUAAGAUUGUUCGGAUGUAAACUUGGUUGUUAAAAUUCGGUGAGAUAAAACCAAAGUUCACAAGAAUACCAGAAGGAAACAAUCACUGUAAGUUCUUUUUAAGUUCUAUUUCUAUUAUUUUUAACAAAGUUUUAAAUUAAAACUUUCAGGCAUCAAAUUAAAACAGAAAACAGUAAGAAAGUUUUUAUUGUUGCCCAAAUACAUACCACAUGGUUUUGUCAAUCUCUUCAAAACUAGGUCGUUUUAGAAUAUUUACGAACAGAAAAAUAAGCUAUUAUAUCCAAUCAACCACUAUAAUUUCGGAUAUGUUUUAGAAAUUCGUUUUUUGCGAAGAAGAAAUGCGAGUUAAACGAAGAACAAGCAAACAAAAACAUAACCUAUUACCAACACACUGUAGUUUCUUUCAAAUUCUAUUUCAAUUUUUUUGAAAAAAAAAAGUAUGAAUGAAGCAGAAGGAGCCAACGAAAUUGUCUCCAACGGAUCCUUCGAUUUUGUGAAAAAAAGCUAACUUGUUUACGAGGCUAGUUAUUUUAAUUUUUCGCAUUAUUCUGCAUCAAACUAUACAAUUUUAUUUUACCAACACACUGUAGUUUCUUUCAAAUUCUAUUUCAAUUUUUUUGCAGAACUUUUUAGUCUCAAAACAGAACUUUAGUCAAAUAAUGCAAAACUGGGCUUUGUAACGUGAUAUUAUCACUACGGAAUAUUAUUUUUGUCUAAAUUACAAAGAGUUCGCUUAAAGUCGUCAUCAUAUGACCAAAGGUCGCAUGAGUGGGUUUUGAAGUAAAACUCUUCAAACUGUAGUCCAAAUGAAAUUUAGUACAGGUGUAGAGGGCGCUGCGAGCCCCCCUACCGGGAUCUUGUGAUAAGGAUCGUGAUAAAAAAACACACACAAGAUUUCCGUACGUAUGGUCAGAAGAACCACACGGAAUCACUCUUAGAUAAAAAGAUUGACUUUAUACUCAGAGUGAGAGGUUUUCCUCUCCGGUCUCUGAGCUACCGUUUAUCUAGCUAUACUUUUCAGGCCUGCGCUCUCUCCCGGCCCAUUUCAUUUUUCGAACUUAAAAUCUAGAGCGUUAGUUAUUUUUAUUGAGCGUGGUAAACUUGCGCUCUGUAACACGCGCGCUAACUCGAGCGCUAAAAACCACGCGAGAACAUGAGCGACGCUGGGCGAGUUUUGUUUGUUUACCACCGAGUUAUGCAAUGUCUCGGUGGCUUUGGUUCAUCGCGGAAUGUAAAACGUUGGCAUAGCAGAACCGUUCGCGGUCUUUCUUCAAGAUCUCUUGUGUUUUCUUAACCAAUGAACUUAUCUUAGGGGACAAGGGCAGACGGCCAUGUCUCGGUUUUGCAUUCCAACUGUUUUUAUGUAAUUCAGCAGAAGGCUUUCAUUCUUCUGGGCUAAGCUAAAAACGUACCUUUAGGACCAAUAUUUUGUGACGGAACAAUGGGCUCUUUCGCAGGAUGUGACAUCACACAGGGAUUUGAGUUUGAUUUCUAGAUUGAGAGCUAAGAGCUACAACUGAACAAAUCGCUAUGAAUCCACGACACGCUUGUGUUCCUGAACAUUCAUUGCGAUCACAUUUUUUCCUAAAACUAACUGUACAUUUAAAGUUCUUAGUAUAUAAAACCACUGUAAUUUCGGAUAUGUUUUAGAAAUUCGUUUUUUACGGAUGAUUUUCAACAAAUGAGAAUGAACUAAGUUCGAAAAAUUUAGCAUUACGGAUCUAUUUGGAAAUGUCUUAGGGUGGGACAACGGCUAGUAAUAGUCACGCCAGGUGUCUACUGGGGUUCUUCGCGACUAAGUUGCGACUCCCAAAGCAUCCUCAAGCAAUUUUGUUCUGUUUUCGAAAUGCGAUAUUUGCCAUUUGAUAUUUGUACCCCGUUAACAGUUUGUAUACUCAAUCGAUCAAUAGGCUUAUCUUCUGAGUCAAUUUUCACUACAAUUUUCGUCUGGUCACCCACAAACGCAGCUAGUUCAUCCGUGUCGACUUCAGGAGUUAAGAAUAAUGAACGUCUUUCUUUAAAAGGGUUAGAUUCCUCGGGUUAUCUUAACCGGUGUGCAAAGGUCCUUUUCGCAUUCGAAAGGCUUAAACACACAAGGGACAACCUCUGAAAUCUAGCGUUCGGAUUAAGAAAGAUCUGUGCGAGUUCGUAUUUGCUAGUGGUAUGAUUUUAUUUGGUAGCAAAUCGGGUUUAUAUACAAAAAUUUACAAAUUGUAAUCUUACGAACUAUGCCUACGUAUGGAAGAGAAAAGAGAGAGAAAAUUCUCCUAAAGGAACAAAAGGAACGCGACAAAAUUUCUACUCGCCUAGUCAGGUCAAAUUUGCCUUUCCCUAAUCCGGUACCUGAACGGGAAAAAGGUUUCGAACGUUAUCGGCUUUCUUUACACGCGCCUACGACAACAUUCAUUCAGGUAGUUACAAUGUUUACAAAGCGCCGGAUUUGCAUUCCCUAUUUCCCUACUUAAGAUGAUAAUGCGUACGCAGACGCGCCGGCUGAUAAAAGGACUUAUCGCCCUUUUCUUUUAGCAUUGUCCGCCCGUAAUUCACAUAGUCAUUGACGCUGGCUAAACCUAACAGACUGAGAACAGAACAGAACAGAAAAUAGACCGCUAACGAAAUUCUAUACCUGCUUCUAAUCUAGCACCCGCACGAAGGGUCGGUCGGGGAUUAUCUAUGUAGCAAUCUCCUCUAUGAAGGGAACCUAUUGCGAUUAUUAAAUCUAUUCUAAUUCCUUUUAUAAGAACAAUAUUAAAUGAGUUGCUGAAUGACUAUAUUGUCAAGUUCUAAAUAAUGCGUUUGCUACAAUCCGCAUCGCCAUCAUAGGGCUGUACGAUGGAUGUCGCUUGCUUGACAAGUUUGUUUAGAUAUCGUCGUCAUUUUCGGUGUGUCAGUCGUUAACUUGUGGUUGUUUUCUAAUUUCCUGUGCAAUGUGAUUUUUGUAUUGUCUAAUAUCUUUUUAUAUUUCGUAUAAGUUAACAAACUGAAUGUGGCGUUCUCUAAAACUUCGCCAAGUUCGUCUACCGAUUUUAGUUUUUUAUACAUAAUGUCGUAAGAACGUUUGGUGUUGAUUGCUUUCCUGCAAUAAAGAUUUAGUUCUUUUAAUCGUAUAUUUUCUUUAUCGGUCCAUAGUUCGUCGUCAUUCAUUUGUGUUGUUAUGACCUUUUGUUUUGGAUAAUAUAAAUUUAUGUUUUUUUUUCGAAAUAAUUGCAAAUUUACAAUGUAUAUAAUAAUAUAAAAUGAUCAACUUUUUCUUUGUCACAUAUUGUAUAAUUGCAAAUUUAUAAUAUUUAAUCUGAUUCGUCUGUGAGCGUUAUGUUAUUCAUUUCUUUGAUGAUAGCCAAGUGAAUCUCCUGCUUCGCGGAGUUAUCGUCGAUGUUCAUGUUAAAGUCUGAAUUGGUUACUAAAUCUAGAUUCGGGAACUUAGCAUAUUUGUUAACCAACACAGAGUUAAGUGAAUGGUGAAGCUCAUUGACUUUCACAUGGUCAAGAGGCAAUCCUUGAUUGGUUUCGAAUAUUGGAGUAGGCUUCGUGUUCUUGCCUGGCAAGAGAGAAGGGUUCUGGAUCUUGUUCUUGUUCGGAUCUACUUUCACCUUCGGUUUCGGCUUAACCAAAUCACCAGGUGGCUUCGGAUUUGGUUUAGGCUUUGGUAUUUUUUUAGGAUUUGGUAUUUUGCUUCGACAUGGCUGAAAGUUAUCCUGAAUACUCGAAAGUAUAAGUCAACAAAGCUAUGAACUAUGGUUAUGGUUAUGGUUGUAGCGUAGCCUUAUUUUAGCUGACUUGUUUUGCAUUUCGUCGCGGUUUGGGGUCUUUAUCUUGUUUGUACGUUGACAGCCCAGCUCUUUUCUAAAAAAAAAAACGUUUUCGCAACGUGAUAUUAUCACUACGGAAUAUUAUUUUUCCGGAUGUUCAUCGUGUGCCACGCCUUAAUAAAUUCAUCCGUCAGGUCUUCUUCUCCAGCUAACGAUUUUGUAAACACUGUCACUCUGGUUAUUGUCUCUCCAUUGUGUUUGAGCGUUACUGGAACUUCCACUUCGUCCUUUUUAUUGUUCUUAUAUCUUCUCUUCACAUAUGGGACCAUUCUUCUUAUUUCCGUGUCCCAUGCCUGGUAGUACGCCAGGCACUCUUCAAAAUCGUUUAUAUAGGAUUUAGCCAUAUUUUUUUUUUGUUAUUUGUAUUAAUUAUCAUAUAUUUAUUGAAAUUGUUUUUUUAUGCAUUUAUAUCACACAUGCUUUUUGAUAAUUUUAUCGCUUUUUUAUGACGCGCUUUUCAAGUAGUGAGUAUAAAUAGUAAGUGGAUUGCUACGAUUAUUAAAAUUAUCCACAUUAAACUUUCAUGUUGUUGCAGAGCUUCGCUGUGCAAUUCUUGGUUGUUUAUUAUUUUAACCUGAGGGUCUCCAUUAUGAGACGUUUCAGUUUUAGAGUAAGUUUUACCCAUUAUUAUUGAGUUUAUUAUUAUUAUUGGAUGCGUCUAUGGAAAUUGCUACUUGGAGACAAUCAAUUUGAUUGUGGGAACUGGUUAGUUGAAAUGUUGGUUUGUGCUUGCGAAAAGGACAAUUGGAAUGUUGUCUGCAAUCGGACUGUGGGAAUUUGUUUACUAAAUGUAACUGGAUAUUUGUUCAAAAUGCUUGGAUGGAUAUGGAGUUUUGAGUUUUAGACUCAUAAACUCGGAAAGAUGGAAAAUGGGUUAUUUGGUUUAGUGUUUAGUUUAUGGGAUUGUAAAUUAGGAAAGGAAAUGUUAUUAUUUUGCGGUUUUAAUUAUGCUACAGAACGUUAUGCGAUUGAAGCUUAGAAGAUUCGAAUACGCUGAUCUUCCAUGCGCUUGCCUCGAAGUAUUCUUCUGGCCUAAUCAAAGACUUUUCAUCAAAAGUCGUCAUCAUAUGACCAAAGGUCGCAUGAGUGCCAAUUGUAACAACCACUGUAAGUUCUUUUUAAGUUCUAUUUCUAUUAUUUUUAUGACAAAUUGAAUGUUGGUGAAGCGGAGCUUCCAUAUUGUGAUGGGAGGAGGACUUGUGAUACCGUUAAGUUUGUGACAGAACUAUGGCUGCCACAAUAUAAGAAAAUCAAAUUCUUCUCUCGAGAGCUUUCCUGUUUGGAACUUAGUAUAAUCAACCACUAUAAUUUCGGAUAUGUUUUAGAAAUUCGUUUUUUGCGAACGUUAAUUGUUUAGUGAUCGAUUGUAAUCGCGGGAUUAGGCGUUUCUCAAUACGGCUCUAAAUUACAUUACUUCUUUUCAGAAGUCUAAAAACAUAAAAACACUCACGGACCCUGUAAUAAAAAUGUGAAUGGAAAAAAUUCGUCAUUCAUUUCGCGUGCAGAAAACACACUAUAUGGAAUUUCGCAAAAAAAUCGAUCCAGAAAAUCGUCUUCGCUGCGUGAUAUUAUCACUACGGAAUAUUAUUUUUGUUGAAACACGGACUUCUCGUUAAAAGUCGUCAUCAUAUGACCAAAGGUCGCAUGAGUGCCAUUUAACAUACAAUUCCGGAUUCUUGUAGUCAGUUGCUUCGUAUCCUUGGCCCUCCAAUUGUUUUUAUAUACUAGGGCACUGAGUGAGCCAAAGAGAUCCUCUAUUGGGCGGCACUGGGGCAAGUUUGUUGGGUUACGAUCUUCCGGCACGAACGGUAUCUUUUUCUCCUCAAGAUACGCCAGCGUCUUCUUGGCGUAAGGGGGGGGGGGGGGGUCGGCAGGGUUUUGAAGGCAGAAAAAAACAGGUUUGAAAGUAAAUUUAUUUCUGAUUAUUCAACAUUCAAGAGUAGUAAUUGAACUAUAUUCUGUAAAGUAUUGGUUAAAAAAUAUUGAAAAUUGACUGAAUGGUAGCAAUUCUUCGCAGGCGCCUCAGAAAAAAUACUUUUUGCGGUGCACGUCAUACCUCAGCACUGGAUCAUCUGAAAUGAAAUAACCAAAGUUUUUCCUUUAAUUUUUAUGUCCCUCUAGGUAUCUCUGUAGAGUUUUUCCAUUUUUUUUUUUUUAAUUUUUGAACUUUUUACAAGACUUGAAAGUGAAAAUACCGAUUUUUGGCCUAAAUUCAUGACUAUUGUUGUUAAUAAUAAAAAAAAUAAAAUCAAAAACAAAAAAAAAUCUCAACAGGGUUACCUCAUAAAUUAUGUAAGGAAAUACUGUAAAAAAUUUGAGAACGAUCGGUUGAAUAGAUUUUGAGAUACAGAGUGCACCGACUCAAAAGACAUCGAUUUGAGAAAAACGCGUUUAAAGUUUUUCGUAGCGAAAAGACCCCUAUAAAACUCAGUAAGCUAUUUAUUUUUUAUUUUACUCACAUAGGAUCAUCAAUGCCGGGACAUUCUUGAGUUACUAUACUUUCAUAAUAUGCAAUAAAAAAAAAUCACUUCUUUUGAACCCUCAAAACCCUACCCCCCCGUAAUGGGAAGACGCCUUGUCUGGCCAGAAGACGUACUUCCCAUCCGCGUGAUGCUCGUUCAGGAACGGCAGCAGGAUUUUAUCGAGGCACUCUUCUUGAUAGAUUUGUUGGUUGAUUGCCAAACCGCUCGGCUUAAACCAAGGCUUUGAAAUGCCCCGGUCGGAAAUGUAUUUCACUUCAGGCGGUGUGGAUGACUUGUCGCUGGAGUAGUAAUUAUCAUUUCCUGGAAUAUGCGUUUUGGACAGCGGAAAAUAGCUUCCGUCGUUCAGAACGAAAGACGUCCCGCGGUAUUUUUUGGUCAUCCACCGACACUGUGUUUUAACCGUCUCAAUCUGCUCCUCCGUGUACUCCGGCGACCUCGUCUUCUUCCUGCAGACGAUUCCUUCCAUCUUGAGGGUCCAAUGGAUCAAUACGUGGGAGCAGCCAUAUUUCCGACCGGCGUCACGCAGGCUGGUUGCGUCCUUGUUGUCAAACAGCUUCUUUAACGAUGUCUUCCAAAGGUUGAUUAUGACCAAAGGUCGCAUGAGUGCCAUUUAGAACAACCACUGUAAGUUCUUUUUAAGUUCUAUUUCUAUUAUUUUUAUCAAAAACAAAAGUGGUUCUGUUUGUCUCAUCAAAGCUAGGUCGUUUUAGAAUAUUUAAGAAAACACUAUCUGCCGAUUGUUGUGGCGUUCUGUAACAUUUUAUUAAGGAGCUAUUUAAUAUGACUAAAACAAUAACAUAUAAAAUUUAAAAAGUACCUCGCUUCUCAGGCUCUCUGGUAUUUCAAGAAUUUCAACACUUUCAGGCAUCUUUUCACAUUAGUUUUACCAUUACUUGUCCUUCAUGAUUGACAUAUAAAUCCACCGAAUGAGAAAUUGAAUUUCAUUGCGAUCGCUCCAUUAGUCAACCAGUAAGACUUAUGAAUAUGUCAACAUGUUAAACUUAAUAGACUCAUCGUUCUAUCGGUACCUUAACACACUAACAUAAGAAGUUCUUCAAAAAAUCGUCAUCAUAUGACCAAAGGUCGCAUGAGUGCCAAAAAAAAUCAACCACUGUAAGUUCUUUUUAAGUUCUAUUUCUAUUAUUUUUGCAAGCGCAUAAAAGCGUUCCUGAGUCUGUAAGUUUUUGCUUACCACCCCAGCUUUCACGGGGUCGAUUUACCCGGCGGGCGGCGAUGCACGGGGGUACUUCUACACAACGUAGAUUUACUUCGGUGGAAAUAAAUUUAGUUAAAACAAAUAAAUAACAAGAAUACAAUGAAUAAAAUAAAUAAAUAAAAGAAACGAAAUAAAAAAACUGACCUUCCGCUCUCCUCGCUGACACGUAGAAAUGGCGGGUCCUUGGCUUUUAGCUAAGGGGGCGAGCAGGGCUACUUUGGCGGAACCCCCUCAGCGACGGUGGUGAAAUAUCACCGGACAAACCUACUCACCGUAGACUGCCCCGGUAGCCACCGCGAUGAACUACCCAGGUGAACGCGCCUUCGGUUACACCUGCUUUACUCUCCUUGACGCUUAGCUACAAAGGGGAGACUUGGCUCGAUCGGCUUACCCUUUGUAGCGAGAGUGGCGAGCGUAUCAGGAAUCCUUUACACUUAGCCGGGGAAAUAUUUUCCCAUAUAUCGGCGAUCCCGCACUCAGUAAACAGUGACACAGUAACUGUCAAUAAACUCACAGGUCGGGGUCUUAUUACCAAACUUUCUUCACCCUCACCGAACGGUUUUCUAUCUUUCGCGCCAAGAACACGGCACUCCUCGCUUCGCACACAAUUUCUCCGGAUCAAAAAAAAACCGUCCAAAUCAGCUCGUGGUUUGUCACUUUCUUCUGGCUUCUUAGCGGUCUCAAAAAUUCCUCCUCCUUGAUGUUCACCAAAACAAACACACACAAAACAUUGGCAUCCUGCCACCGCGCUCGACCGUUUUACCGUUUAUGUUGUCGCCUUUUUUGCAGCGGGAGGAGCAACGGGCCCUACUUUCAUUUCACACGCGAUACAAUAGGGAACGAUAAUUUACCAUCUAACAUCUAAUACUUCUAACAUAAAAAUUUAAAUAAAAAUUAACACAAAAACUACGAAUUAAAAUAAAAUCAACAUCAUGCAGCGGCGAGCAUGUUGCUUGUCACUCCAACCAAAAUCAAAACAAAAACAACUCCUACACACAACUGACAAGCAACAUAUAUUUACACGCUCGGCGUUUAUUACACAAAUUUGGGUUAAUUGCAACCUCGAGGGUUGCAAGUCCUGUUUGACGUGUGUUUCGUCAUUAAACUACCGAGUUAGUUGGAAAUGUCACUAUUUUAACUCUUUUGCAUCUGACAAUCAACUGGUCUUUACCGUCACGAGUAAAUUUUUAAAAUAUUUCGACAUCAUUGUACUGUGAUUUCUUUCAAAUUCUAUUUCAAUUUUUUUGAACAUCGAUAAUUUAACACAAAAACGUUCACUCUUUGACAGUCACACGCAAUUUCCGUAGCGUUGGAGAAUGAGAAGACAUACGACUUACAAUUUGCAAAUUAACUUGCACGGAUUACAAAUAAUGCUUCGAGUCUAAACGAGUUUCGUGUUUCGAGUUGAGAUUAUAGAGCAGAAUGCUGUGUAAUUUAGUCAUCGAUCUUUAAGAGCUUUUGUCUUUCAAGCAAAACCAAACGUUCCUUCGUUUUCUGGCAUUUAACAAAGCGCUGGGCAUUUUCGUGUUUUGCAUUGUUCGAUAUCGUGACACAACAACAGAAAGACUUAUCUUAAUAUAUCGUAAGCCUUAAAUGUAAUAGAUACUAACAAUUGUUAUUUCUUUCAAAUUCUAUUUCAAUUUUUUGACCGAAAGAUUUGGUCAUACAUGUUAUAAUAAACUUUAGGGGUAUUUGAUAAUAAAAUAGUGACUUGUGAUAUAAGAGAUCAUACCUCUUGCUUUGAGGUUCAAACAUCGAAUCAUUUAUUCAGACCAUUUUGUUUUACAUCGGACUUCUACAUUCCAGUUUGCACUGCUUAAAUCUAGUACUACAAAAGAGAAAGGAAAAACAUACAAUUCUCACAUACUUGUGUAGCGGCGGCUGGGGCACUGGCUUUUUCCCUAUUAAUGUGAUAUUGCACUCGGCGUUUCACUAACAACUUCUUCCGAUUUACUUGGUGUUUAAUCACACAUCAACUUACACUACUUAUAACUACACUCUACCUUUACACCUUCCUUUUUUUUUUCUUCGGUGGGACUCCGUGGUUUCUCCUCACCGGCUUGAUCUCUACUCCACUGACUCAAUUCAAUUAUUCAAUUAUAUCCCUCUGGCCGCAGAACAGACCAGAUAGCUCCUCAACCGCGGUCCAACUUUUUCUUUUAUUUUGUAAACCUAAACAUAAACUUUAAACAAAACAUUGUUACCGUUGCGCAUAAACCUAAACAUUAACUUGACACAAACCUUGCUGCUCUGCUGCGCAUGACUAAGGUCAAUAACUGUUUACCUAAUGUGUUGUUCUUGAACUUCUUGCGACUGUGUUGCUUGUCGCAGCUUAUGUAAGUAAAAGGUUAGGUCAUUGCAAGAAAGCUAAACAAUUGUUGAACCGAGUUCCUCUAGCUGACCAACCUACUGAGAUGUUUUUUUUUUCUUUUUUUUUUUAUUUAUUUAUAAUUUCUCUUCUACGUAAUACUACAGGAAUCGAAACGAUACACUUGUCAUCCAAUCGCGGGUCAGCUUGGUGACGCCAACGCGAUUGGUAAAAGCAAAUACAUAACAUACAAGCAUGCAGACGUACGCCGCAAGCGCAGUCUGCUUGUAUGUUACUUGUUUAUUAUUCUGGCCUUCGCAGUAGGGCUCAUGUUGGGAUAGGUUCUGGAUAUAGUGUGAAGUAAUGAAAUUGGAUUCUUGCUCUGUGGCGUGAACUAGAGCACUUACCGAGUUUAUGCACCGGGACGGGUACAUUGGCUCGGCGAUGCAACACGUAAGGUUGGAAAUAAUUUAUUGUCUGAGAAAAGACAUGACCCAGAUUAACUGCUGGACAUGCACUUACAAUUGGUGAGAAUGUUAAGGAUUUGGUAAUCGUUUUGGGACUUGUGGGAAUCUUGAGUGGUUUGGUACGUGGGAAGCAAAGUGAAACUUGCUUCGGUUAUUCUAGAAAACAUGUGGGAAAAAAGUUCUUAAGGGUUUUACUGUUAAUUUACAGUCUUGGGAAAGUUAGUUCGAAACUUGUGGGAAAUUCACAUCUGGAGUAUAUCAUAAUGUGCUCGAUAUGGAAAGUUCUUGUCGCUUGAACUCUAGCUAAUAUUAUAGCUUGUCUUGAAGCAAUGAUUUGUCAAUCUCUUCAAAACUAGGUCGUUUUAGAAUAUUUACUGCGCCAUUGUCGUGACUCAGUCGGCCUUGAGUCUGAACAGUAAAGUGUAGGGGAUGUAGGUUUCGUCAUCGAGUGAUAUAGGGGGGGAGUGGGGGGGUCGUUUUGAAGGCGGAAAAAAACAGGUUUUUACAGAUUUUUUUUUUGGGCGUACGGUGAAAGUAAAUUUAUUUCUGAUUAUUGUACAUUAAAGAGUAGUAAUUGAACUAUAUUCUGUAAAAUAUUGGUCGAAAAAUACUGAAAAUUGACCGAAUGGUAGCAAUUCUUCGCAGGCGCCUCAGGAAAAAUACUUUUUGCGGUGCACGUCAUACCUCAGCACUGGAUCAUCUGAAAUGAAAUAACCAAAGUUUUUCCUUUAAUUUUUAUGUCCCUCUAGGUAUCUCUGUCGAGUUUUUCCAUUUUUUUUAAAUUUUUGAACUUUUUACAAGACUUGAAAGUGAAAAUACCGAUUUUUGGCCUAAAUUCAUGACUAUUGUUGUUAAUAACAAAAAAAAUAAAAUCAAAAACGAAAAAAUCUUAACAGGGUUACCUCAUAAAUUAUGUAAGGAAAUACUGUAAAAAAUUUGAGAACGAUCGGUUGAAUAGAUUUUGAGAUACAGAGUGCACCGACUCAAAAAACAUCGAUUUGAGAAAAACGCGUUUAUAGUUUUUCGUAGCGAAAAGACCCCGAUAAAACUUUAUUUUUAUUUUUUAUUUUACUCACAUAGAAUCAUCAAUGCCGGGACAUUCUUGAGUUACUAUACUUUCAUAAUAUGCAAUAAAAAAAAUCACUUUUUUUUAACCCUCAAAACCCUACCCCCCCAUAAGUGUCUACUCGGGUUUACUGUCAGUAUUGGAAUGAAUUGGUUUAUUCCCUCUAUGGAUAUCCGUUUAUAUAUGUUGGGUUAAUUCUCUGGAAUGUUUAGCGGAGAAGGACUGUUUGUAAAUGCGUAUCAUAAAUCUUUUAACGCCAUUUUUGAGUUCUGUUGGCUUAGCAAAACUGAUGGAAAAUUACGAUGCGAUGCAACAAUGUUGCUUGUUUGAAAUCUAACUUGAAUCAUGAAAGAAUGCAAGUUUGCCGCAAAUGCUUUUCAGACAAAAAGUGCACUUCAUUCCCUGCUAAGAAUUUUCUUCGCCCUGCCGUUGUCUCGUAGAAACGCACUCUUAUCCAAACUGCAAAGUUAGCACAUGUGAAUACUUGAGUUGCUAAUCUCUUCAAAACUAGGUCGUUUUAGAAUAUUUACUGCGCCAUUGUCGUGACUCAGUCGGACUUGAGUGUUUUGGGGCUGAGUCCAGCAGAGUCUUAUUCGUGGUUCUAUACCGUGAUUUCUCCGGGGACAUCACUCCGUGGUUUGGUGUGAUAAAAUUGGCGCGAUAAAUUCUUAUAUUACAUACAAAUGUCUAUAAAGCAUGAAGUCGACUGACGAAUACAAGGUUACAAUGACUUUGUGAAAGUCUCAGUCACCUCUACUAAUCUUCCUGGAUUAAAUCUGCAAUCUGCCUCGGUACCAGAACAUCCCGUUCAGUCUAUUGACAAAAUCUCGAGUGUACGUUAUAAUGUUUUAACACCACCUCUAGCGCGUUGUUUGUAUACUUUUCGAGGGAUAUCUCCGCGGAGAUGUCAUCGGAAGAUACCGGAAAUUUUCCCUAUACUUACCGUGUGUGCUUUUUGUCUUGGAAAAACGGCAUACUCUACGGGAUUGAUCACUAUAAUUUUUUUCCUAUCCAAUGAAAACUGGGGCAAGGGAAUUUUACCAACGCAGGAAGAUUCUCUCUGAUAUUUUUGAUUAUUUACUUGUCUAAGAAGGCAGUAGUAUUCCAGUAGUUCUCGCUGUGAAAAAGCAAAAAAGCUUCUUGAUCAUCUUGCUCUUCUGAAUAAACCGUGGUAUCUGUAGCCUGCAAGGUUCAUGAAAGAUCGACUUGAUAAUGGUAUCGUCUUAAUUUAUGUUCGUUCUGCAAAAACAAUCCAUUCUAUUGGAUUUUAACCGCUCUGAGAGUUGAUAAUUUGUAAGUCUCUUCAAAACUAGGUCGUUUUAGAAUAUUUACUGCGCCAUUGUCGUGACCGAAGCGAGCAACGACAUGUAACGUUUCAAAGCAUGUGACUUUAAAAGUUCUCAAGAUUAAUACCACCUGUAUCUCUAUUAAAAUUGUUGCCAGAACAAAAAACCUUAUCCUACCGGCUGCGCCAAUUAUGGAGUCUAGUCUAGAUAAUGAAGCGUGUAACUAUACAAAAAAAAACUGCAAACGACACUCGUCCAAGCGCAUUGAAGCUCAUUUUGUAUACAUUCUGUGGCCACACCAGGGCGUUUCUGCUGUCGUCAAUCAGAAGACAUACGACUUACAAUUUGCAAAUUUACUUACGACUGUUUGUUUGUUUUUGUAACUGGAA
Molecule: long non-coding RNA, 20543 nt
Organism: Wyeomyia smithii (pitcher-plant mosquito)
Lineage: Eukaryota; Metazoa; Arthropoda; Insecta; Diptera; Culicidae
Exons: 3
Source: RefSeq, a predicted model, not a curated record